UACAGCUCCCGUGUCUGGGAAGAAGC
This 26-nucleotide non-coding RNA is filed under the name Homo sapiens (human). Lineage: Eukaryota; Metazoa; Chordata; Mammalia; Primates; Hominidae. The record is from RNAcentral.